AGCAGACAAGAAAGGUAAAAGGGUCAUGACGCAACAAGUGAAGAUUUAGGGUUUUUUGACGAUUUAAAAUCCUUAUCCUAGGGUUUUGUAACCUCUGUUUUUUUUGUGAGAACGAUUCUGAGAAGGAAACAUGGCAUCCAUAGACGAGGAAGAGAGGGAGAAGAUAGAGCAACAACUCGCGUCCCUCACGAAGCAGUGUAUGAACACAGAAUUAGACGCUGACUACAUUCGUACUAUGAUUUUACCUGAGUUCUUUCCUAAUUUCUGGGUUAGAUCGAUGGCACUGGAUCCCAGAAACUAUAGGCAACUGCUAGAUACAACUGUGGAGAUUGCAAACAAAGUUGGUGCUGCUGAUAUAAUAGGGAGAUUAUUUGAGGAUCUUAAAGAUGAGAGUGAACCAUAUAGGCGGAUGGUAAUGGAGACAAUUGGGAAGGUUCUUACGAACUUGGGUGCUUCUGAUAUUAAUAAUCGUUUGGAAGAGGAGCUUAUGGAUGGAAGCUUAUAUGCUUUACAACAGCAGACCAGUGAUGAAGAUAACGUUAUGCUCAAUGGGUUUGAGGCAGUGGUUAAGGCUCUUGGGCUUAGAGUGAAACCCUAUCUUCCCGUGAUAUAUGGUAGCA
Long non-coding RNA from Telopea speciosissima, 620 nucleotides. RefSeq lists it as uncharacterized. The transcript has 4 exons. The record is from RefSeq and is a predicted model, not a curated record. NCBI's taxonomy places the organism in Eukaryota, Viridiplantae, Streptophyta, Magnoliopsida, Proteales, Proteaceae.